AUUGAACGCUGGCGGCAUGCCUUACACAUGCAAGUCGAACGGCAGCACGGGUGCUUGCACCAGGUGGCGAGUGGCGCACGGGUGAGUAAUACAUCGGAACAUGUCCUGUAGUGGGGGAUAGCCCGGCGAAAGCCGGAUUAAUACCGCAUACGAUCUACGGAUGAAAGCGGGGGACCUUCGGGCCUCGCGCUAUAGGGUUGGCCGAUGGCUGAUUAGCUAGUUGGUGGGGUAAAGGCCUACCAAGGCGACGAUCAGUAGCUGGUCUGAGAGGACGACCAGCCACACUGGGACUGAGACACGGCCCAGACUCCUACGGGAGGCAGCAGUGGGGAAUUUUGGACAAUGGGCGAAAGCCUGAUCCAGCAAUGCCGCGUGUGUGAAGAAGGCCUUCGGGUUGUAAAGCACUUUUGUCCGGAAAGAAAUCCUUGGCCCUAAUACGGUCGGGGGAUGACGGUACCGGAAGAAUAAGCACCGGCUAACUACGUG
Molecule: ribosomal RNA, 486 nt
Filed under: uncultured bacterium
Lineage: Bacteria
Description: partial 16S ribosomal RNA
Rfam family: Bacterial small subunit ribosomal RNA
Source: RNAcentral